UCUCCCGAACCGUUUAUCACUUGGACACUUCACAAAACCAGUUAAACAAAAGAACAGACACACCAAUGAACAAAAACUCAGUCCUCCAUUAAUGGCCGCUACAGCUGCAACACUUUCAUUCUCUUUAAACCUAUAUUCAGAUCCCCAAACCCACCAAAAAUUCUCACCUGCAAUUUCCAAUUACCCGUUUUUAACUUCUAAAAAACCCCACCGUCCCCACCUCAAAUCCUUCUCCUCCCACUCCUCUCCGCCGGCAACAGAACAAACCACCGGACCCUCUUCAAACUACUCAAAUCUCGAAGAUUCGUUCAAGCCCGGGAGGUUCUUAACCAAUGAAGAGCUCGAACAGGUUAGAAAACUCGAGAACUUUACAUAUUUCCAAGAAUUAAAAACUGGGUCCUUACUCAUUAGAGUGAUGAGGCCAGAUGAAAUGGACGUCACCGUUAAGUUAUUAGCUGAGUCUUUUGCUGAGUCGAUGCUGUUGCCUUAUGGGUACGUGUCUUUGUUGAGAUUCUUGGUGAAGCAGUAUUUGAUUGAGAGGGGUAGUGUGAUGCCGCAUGCUGUUACUCUGAUAGGGUUUUACAGAGAUGGUGAUGGUGAAGAUGGGGAGGAGAUGGUGUUGGCUGGGACUGUGGAGGUUUGUUUUGAUAAAAGAGGAGCAAAUGCUUCGCCUCCUACGCCUACUCCGCCCAAGAAUUCGCCUUAUAUUUGUAAUAUGACUGUUAAAGAAUCACUUCGCAGGAGAGGCCUUGGUUGGAAUCUUCUGAAGGCCAGUGAGGAACUGAUUUCUCAGAUGAGCUGCGAAAGAGAGGUGUACUUGCAUUGCAGAAUGAUUGAUUCGGCUCCCUUCAAUAUGUACAUAAAAGCGGGAUACAAUGUUGUCAAUACGGAUAGUAUAUUUGUCUUGUUGAUGUUGCAGAGGCGCAAGCAUUUGAUGUGCAAGAAACUUCCAGUCUUAGAUAAUUCUUCAGAAGUUGCUUUGUCAGACUCUGAUAUGGAAGUUUCUUCAUAAUUGGAUUUGCGGAUGCAAUAAUAUGCGUCUCUAAGGUUCUUUGUACAUUAUCUGACCAGAUUGUGGUGAUCAUCAACUCAGGAGGAUUAUGGCGGGGAGGUAGUUCUGAUUCUGUGGCAACUCCUUGCUUGUAAUUUGUUGUAAUUGUGGUAGAAACCUCUUGUGUUAAAGGUAAUUUGAAACAGAUAUUCAUACACUAGAAACCUGUGCUUCCCGUCAGCGCAAUAUCCUCUCAAUGAAACCAGAUUUGGGUGGUCGAGCCGGCUCAAGAUAUCAACUUCUACACGAAACUCUCUUUCUCCAUCAGCUUCUUUAAAUGACGGCAACUCCAUUUUCUUGAUUGCUACAACCUUCAUGUUACAGAGAAAACAAAUAGUUUGUGUUUAUAUAACUGGUCUGUGAUCUUGACAAUUUUUAUUUCAAUAAUCAUAAACUUUACUGAA
RNA transcript from Mercurialis annua (annual mercury), 1455 nucleotides. RefSeq lists it as uncharacterized. The transcript is spliced from 4 exons. Lineage: Eukaryota; Viridiplantae; Streptophyta; Magnoliopsida; Malpighiales; Euphorbiaceae. The record is from RefSeq and is a predicted model, not a curated record.